Long non-coding RNA from Pongo pygmaeus (Bornean orangutan), 3216 nucleotides. RefSeq lists it as uncharacterized. The transcript has 4 exons. Lineage: Eukaryota; Metazoa; Chordata; Mammalia; Primates; Hominidae. The record is from RefSeq and is a predicted model, not a curated record.
CAAAUCCAGCUCCAGCCUGUUUUUGUAUGGCCUGUGAGCUAAGCAUGGUUUUUACAUUCUUAAAUAUUGAAAAGAAAAUCAAAAGAAGAAUAAAUAUUUUAUGACAUGUGAAAAUGAUAUGAAAUUCCAGUUUCAAUGUCCACAGAUGAAGUUUUAUGGGAACACAGCCACACUUGUUCUUUGUGUAUUCGUGCCCCAAGAACAGAAUUCAGCAUUUGUGAUGGAGACCAUAUGACCUGCAGAGUCUAAGUAUUUGUUGUGUGGACCUUUCCAGAAAAAGUUUGUUCACCUUGGCCUGGUGGAGUAAUAUUGGCAUCAAGGUCUUUGGUAGUGCUCACUUGGCAGGAGUCCAAAUUGAAGUUCUCCUUGAAGAUUCCUGUAAAUGGGUGAUUGGUAGAGGGAGUCACCCUCUAGCCAUCUGGGAGGCACAGCUGUGAUGCUCAGCCAGAUCCAGAGGCCUGAUCUCCAGGGUGUUCACCAGCCACGUGGCAUCCUCCCAGUUUCCCAGGGCAAAGAUGCAGAUCAAAGCGCCGUGUCAGUUCACACAUGGAACACAGUCAUCUCCAGGUAGGUAGACUGGACCACACAGUGCCAUUGGCCUCUUUCUCUAGAGAGGGAGGCUCGAAGGUGGAGAACACAAACAGGCUGUGGACUGCCUUGGCCCCACAAGAGUCUCAGGCCCCAGGCCCUAGAACUUCAGCAGGAGAGGCGAGUUGAAGAAAACCACCCCAAAGGAAAGGAGGAGCAGAGCAAAUAUCUCCCUGAGCUGCCAAGACCCAUCUAAGCAGUCUGCUGGAUCCAAGCAGGGGACAGCAAUGUGAGGAAUGGGGAGGAGAGCAAGCUGUGCACGAGAUGCCACCCCACAAGGAAACACCAAGGGACUGCCAACAUCGUGCUCCGGGUCCUGCCUACCCAUCUGAGGACAUGUCUGCUCAUCACCCAUGUGCAUCCUGUCACAGUGGGACCUGCGUGUGUUCCCUGCUCAUUGUCACUUCCAUAGUUUUGCUGAUUCUAUGCGAUUCUUCCAGGCCACUCCAAGUUCCACCUCUUCCACGAAGCCCUCCUUGAUUGCUGGGCCCUAGUUGAACUCCUUAUUAGUAACACCCAGAGUUCUCAAAAAGGCAUUCUAGGAAGUCCUGUAAAAUACAUGCUCAUAAAAAUCUCAUAAUUUCCACAAAUUGUUGAGAACUUAAAAACUCGGUUGGGAGUUUGCUGUUUCCGCCUGAGACACCUGGCUCACGUUUCAGUGCUUGCAGUCCUGAGACAGUACCAGGCAUCCGGGAUGAAGCUGGGGAAAGAAGAUGUGGAGGCCCUGCUGGCCUGCUCCUUCUCUCGAGAGACGCUUACCGGCUGCUGGCUCCAUCACUGGUGUGUCACAGGGCUUUAGGAUUUGGAAAAACAGAGGGAUUUAAAAGAAGACAGAAUAGUCAGAAUUUAGAGAACCGUGUGCUGAAGUGCCAUCUUUAGGGUGCUCAUAACACGACCCUACGACAUUAGAGGUGCUGGAAUCAUGGAAGAGGAAUCCGGACUCUGUAAUGUCCUUCCCCCUGGAAAAUCUGCUCCAGAAGUGGGGGAUUGGGAGCUGUCAACAUAUGAACCAUCUUUUGCUCUGUUCAAGAUGGUAGGGGCAUUCUCGACAUGCCCCUCACUCUGAUUCUGCCUCACUUUUAUUUUAGAAUUUUCCACUGCCUCUUCUGGAAUGUGCUUUUUCAACCCUCAAAAUCUGUAGAGAAGAAAUAAGCAGAAACUGAAAAGGCUUUCUGGUGUUCUCCAUGCUCUCAGCUUACUGGAAAAUUGAGCCUCGGGCUUGAGGCUGGACUUUUAGGGAGAGCACUGCAAUCAUAGUGCUAUGGCCUUGCCUUCCUUUCUCAUCACCCAGGUACAGUCCUGCAGUCCUCAGAGGAUGCCAGUCCCACACAGGGGGAUCCUUCUCCAUAGGAAAACCGAGGAACAACACAGGUUCGAUGUGUAAGAUGGCUAAGCACAUUCGGUCCUCAAGGUCUUUCCUCUCAAAUGCUAAUGCUACCUCGAGAUGGGCUGCUGCCUGCUACCAUUUCAACAUCGAGUCCUUUAAGAUGCUAUCAGAGAGAGAGGGGAAGCAAGAGGCCAAGAAAAAUGACAGGUAAGCACAAGACCAGUAGAAUGAGUGGGGAGAUCUGUCCGUCUGUCUGUCUGUUUGUUUGUUUGUUUGAAGUGUCUUCUACUUGACUGCAGUUACUAUUCUUCAAGUGAGGGCGAAGUGCUUCUCUUCUCCUUUCUGAUAGCUCCGCAGCUCUCUAAGUAAACUAUUUGACAAACACAUCGCAGCAGCGAGUGGAAACAUGUCUGAGACGCUGCAGCAUAGCCCGGCUGGUUCUGUUCUUAGCAGUAUUUGCUAAGUUGCAUCCAUUAGAAUGUUUUUAAACAAUGGGAUGCAUGUCAUCUUGAUUUGACAGGAUAAUCCUGAGUUUAUAGAAUUUCAUCACAGUGUGUGAAACUGGUUUUUAACUUCACUAUACUGGCCCUCAGCGGUGAAGUAAACUGGGCACUGAAUAGAAAAAUCUCCCUCCUCCAUAUUGUCCCCAGCCCACCACAUUUCGCCCUAAGCUCUGCCCUGCACCAACGCCAGACUUCUACUGGAGUUUGGCAGCUGUGGCAACCACUGGCUGUCUCUCAACCACUUCACAAUAUGUAUCAAUGUAUUCUACAAAUCAUUGUGUUUGCCGAGCAUUCUAUUACUACACAGUUCUGAUUCAACUGACAUGUAUCUUAGAGGUCAAUAUCUUUUCUUUUUUCCUUCACUUGGCUAGGACUCCAUAGGAAACAGCUAUUUGAGUGAUGAUAUAUAGGAGAAGGAUAGUACUGUAUUUAACUGUCUGUUAAUAUCAGAGAAGAUAAAUAUUUUUCACCUCCCUGUAGAUAGCUAUGCAUAAGCUUGGUAUUCAUUUAUGAGCAAUGUAGCAUUUUAAAAGCCACAACUGAUUUACUUAUAUUAAGUCAAUAUAAAUAAAUUAUGUUAGUAAAUUGCGAAUUUUGAAAGUUGUAAUCAACAUCGAAAAUGAAAUGUCUUGGUUGUCCACUUAAAUUAUAUAAUGCAAUUUUAACACAGUAAAAAAAAAAUCACCUAGCGUAAUAGUGAGAGUUUGAAUCAUUAUUAGUUAGAUUCUUGUUUGUAUUAAUUAAGAAUUUCACAGACAUUGUUUGUAAGUGAAAAAGAUAUUUUAAAUAAAUAUUUAG